This 437-nucleotide ribosomal RNA is filed under the name uncultured bacterium. Its description in RNAcentral is "bacterial SSU rRNA". It matches the Rfam family "Bacterial small subunit ribosomal RNA", at positions 29 to 509 of the family's 1533-position model. The record is from RNAcentral.
AGCGAACGCUGGCGGCAGGCUUAACACAUGCAAGUCGAACGGGCGUAGCAAUACGUCAGUGGCAGACGGGUGAGUAACGCGUGGGAACGUACCUUUUGGUCGGAACAACCCAGGGAAACUUGGGCUAAUACCGGAUAAGCCCUUACGGGGAAAGAUUUAUCGCCGAAAGAUCGGCCCGCGUCUGAUUAGCUAGUUGGUGAGGUAACGGCUCACCAAGGCGACGAUCAGUAGCUGGUCUGAGAGGAUGAUCAGCCACAUUGGGACUGAGACACGGCCCAAACUCCUACGGGAGGCAGCAGUGGGGAAUAUUGGACAAUGGGCGCAAGCCUGAUCCAGCCAUGCCGCGUGAGUGAUGAAGGCCCCUAGGGUUGUAAAGCUCUUUCGGCGGGGAAGAUAAUGACGGUACCCGCAGAAGAAGCCCCGGCUAACUUCGUGCC